CACGUAGGGCGCAAGCGUUGUCCGGAUUUAUUGGGCGUAAAGAGCGUGUAGGCGGCCAUGUAGGUCCGUUGUGAAAACUCGAGGCUCAACCUCGAGACGCCGAUGGAAACCAUGUGGCUAGAGUCCGGAAGAGGAGAGUGGAAUUCCUGGUGUAGCGGUGAAAUGCGCAGAUAUCAGGAAGAACACCCGUGGCUAAGGCGGCUCUCUAGUACGGUACUGACGCUGAGACGCGAAAGCGUGGGGAGCGAACAGG
Molecule: ribosomal RNA, 253 nt
Filed under: uncultured bacterium
Lineage: Bacteria
Description: partial 16S ribosomal RNA
Rfam family: Bacterial small subunit ribosomal RNA
Source: RNAcentral